GCCAGGUGUGGUGGUGUGCGCUUAUACUCCUAGCUACUGGGGAGGCUGAAGCAGGAGGAUCACUUUAGCCCAGGAGUUCUGGGCUGUAGUGUGCUGUCCAUUAGGCGACAGCGCUAAGUUUGGCAUCAAUAUGGUGGCCUCCAAGAAGAGGCCCACCAGGUUGCCUAAGGAGGGGUGAAGCAGCACAGGUCCUAAACAGCAGGUUAAAACUCCCGUGCUGAUCAGUAGUGGGAUCACUUUACUCCAGCCUGAGCAACAUAGCGAGACCUCAUCCCU
Molecule: signal recognition particle RNA, 276 nt
Filed under: Microcebus murinus (gray mouse lemur)
Lineage: Eukaryota; Metazoa; Chordata; Mammalia; Primates; Cheirogaleidae
Description: Metazoan signal recognition particle RNA (ENSMICG00000026444.2)
Rfam family: Metazoan signal recognition particle RNA
About the family: The signal recognition particle (SRP) is a universally conserved ribonucleoprotein. It is involved in the co-translational targeting of proteins to membranes. The eukaryotic SRP consists of a 300-nucleotide 7S RNA and six proteins: SRPs 72, 68, 54, 19, 14, and 9.
Source: RNAcentral